CGCCGCUCUCCUUCCUUCACCAAUCUCCAACUGUUGAGUCGCUCAGCCGCCAGAGCUCCACUGAGUUCAGCCUCUUGCCUGGCCUGAGUAAAGUUAACCUCAUCGCUUCCGCAGCAAAGCUCUCUCUCUCGAGUCCGUUGCCAUUGAUCAUCAUCCUCGCGUCCCUAUUCAGGUAGCUCUCUCUCUCGAGUCCGUUGCCAUUGAUCAUCAUCCUCGUGUCCCUAUUCAGGCAUCUAUGGUGGAAGAAGAAUCAAUGGAAGUUGCAUUAGAAAUUAAUCAAGUUGGAAUGGUUGUACUUGAAAGACGGCGGAGAAACAGAGGAUGUAGCCUUCGUGCCCAACUUACGUUGUCUAAACGUUCAUGGAGUAACUCACACGUGUGCCUGGUCGUCCACACUUCAACCCCUGUCCAUUCGGAGCCAGAAACUCUCCAGCCACAUUGGCGCUUCCCCUUUGGAGGUCCUAAACUCCUUUUCUCUUGUUGCUUCACUAUCAUUUAUAUCUAUUUCAUUUAACUAAUUCGCAGUGCCGGUUUGUAGUUUGUAGUUCAGAGGCAUGCUUGAUUCUUAUAUGUUGCUAAGUCCCUCGGACGAUCUACACCUUGCCUGAAAAUGAAAUUUGAUUUCUCCUUUCUGCUCUUGGGGAUUAGAGAUUUUUCUUUGAUGAUUACAACGUGUUUGGCUUGCCUGAAAAGCCUAAAGUCACGAUCUCUUUCUGUUCCGGUUUGGUUUGAAUGUAAUGGGAAGGGAGGUUAGAACAUCACUUCAUGCUUGAAUAGACUGAAGGAGAAAAAUGUGGCAACACCAUUGCAACAAGGUUAAACGUUUAAGUGUAUGGUUAGCAUCCUAAAUGAGCUGUUCAAAAUGGAUUGGAUUCUUAGUCUAUCUUCUUUGGGAAAAUAUGGGAGGUACUGCUCGAAGAACUAAUAGCUAAAUAUGAACAAGGAGCUUUUAGAACAUACAAGGAUUGUUUUCUCUGUUUAGUGGCUGUUCCUUCGAAAGGGAUGGAAAAUCUAAUGAGUAAUCCUGUACUGAUAUAGCAUGACUAGAGCAAUAUGCUGCUCAGAAUGGUUGCUUUGCUAGAUUGCGCGACAUCUGAAUGCUCAUGGAGGGCUUCACACACGUGCCUGGUUGUCCACACUUCAACCCCUGUCCAAUUGGAGCAAGAAACUCUCUGCUCAUAUCCGCGCUUCUCCUUUGGAGGCCAUUGACCAGACGACUCAGAUGGUUCUAUUCAAGUUGCUCAACUGUCAUGUAUUUAAUGAUAUAAAUGGUUGCAUUUCCAUUGGCAAAGAAGUAUGUUAUCAUAUACAUAGAGCAGUACUGGCUACUUUCUUUUCUCUACCAAUGGAUUGCAAGCGUCUCUCAUGCAACAAAAUCUGACGGGCAAGAAUUGGCAAUCAAGGCCUACAAGACUUCGGCGCUGGUGUUCAAUGAUAUAUACUGAAGACGCUAGAUUUGGUGAAAAAUGUGGGAGAGGAUGUGAUUUGGAUAAUAACUAGGAAGGACAUUGAAGACAUGUCUACAAGACUCUCAUGGGGUUAUCUCAGGCUCUCACGAAGGGGGACGCUAAUGCUAUAGAAAAGGCAACUGAUCCUGGCGAUAAUACUAAAGCUUGCGGUAGAGUCCAACUCAGAUACAGAUGUAGAUGAAGAUUCGGAAGGAAAUUAGUCAGCUUCCAAAACCGAGGUGCUGGCUCCUGUUGACAAGAAGGCUUCUAGGAAGGAGAACAAAAAGAAGGUCAAAGAGGAAAAAAGGGAAGCGAGGAAAGACAGUCUACAAGGCCGCGAAGAAAGAAGGAAGAAGUUGGCGAAAGCCCAUGGGACUGGUAGUUCGUUUAUGGUAGUGGUAUUAAUAUACAUACCCGGCAUUUCUCAAUAGAGAGGAGUCACGUAUCGUAUAAGUUUAAUUUACUGGAUCUGUAGAUGGCUUUGCACUUUUCAGUGGUAGCCCAGUUUAAGCUUAGAGUAAAGCGAGAGGGAUAAGAUAAGUUAUGUUGGUCUUGUAUUGUGUCAGGGUAUCGUUAUUAGAUGGUGUUGGUCUAUUGUUCCAAGGUAAAUUGUAUAGCAGCUUCUUCCUUUUUCCUAUCUUUUUGCU
Molecule: long non-coding RNA, 2095 nt
Organism: Eucalyptus grandis
Lineage: Eukaryota; Viridiplantae; Streptophyta; Magnoliopsida; Myrtales; Myrtaceae
Exons: 5
Source: RefSeq, a predicted model, not a curated record